CAUCUAUCAUCCCACUCAUUCAUUCAUCCAACCACACACCUUUUAAUUUAUUCAACCACCUAUUCUUCUAUUCAUCUUCCCAUACAACUUCUCAUCCAUCAUUCCACACUUCCUUUUUCACAUCUCUUCAUAAAACCACAACCAUCCACCAUCCUCUUCUCCACCCAUCCACCCACAUAUCUGUUUAUUGAUAUAUCCACUCAUUUCCCAUCUGUCCAAGAUCAACAUAUCCACCUAUCAUUUUAUCCAUUCUCUCAUCCACCCAUACGUUCAUCUAUUAUUUUUGCCCCCAUUAUCCUCCUUUCUGUGUAAACAUUAAUUCAUUUUCUCCCAUCUUUCCUACCCAGCAGAUCUUAAAGAGAGGAAGAGUUUGUAAUAUUCUUCAGGGGAAGCCUUUUGAGAUUGAAAUAUCAUACUUUGAAUGAUAACUCUAUAUCUAUCUAUAAUAUACUAUGGUUUAAUGUUUGGAAAUCAAACGCAGUAUUUAUUUGUCAUGUGAACUACUAAAAGUAAAUCUGCAUGGACUUCUUGCCUGGUGAGUUACACAGAAAAUGAAAGUGAUUAUCAGUGGCUGUGGCAAGAUGAAAGGAACCAUGCCAGGACUUCUGAGGGAAGGAAGAGUGUUUGGGACUGAAAAAUCCUUGUCUGGAUCUAGUCCUCAGCCACUCAGAAGCUGGCAUGCCAUGACUCAAAGAGCCGCCCGUCUGGAAUGAAGACAGUGACCCGUAACUCCCACCUGAAGAGCAGGUGCUUGGAAAAUGCUGCCAGUCCGCAGGAAAAAGUUGUUACUGCUGCUGUCUGUGACCAAGAGGACACUUUAUUUCUUGAAACAACUGGGGGCAAACUGGCUCCCAGAUAAGGCUUCAGUCCCUACUCAUGUGAGGAAACCAGCCCUGCACCUGAGAGUUUAUUCAGUGACGAUAAUACUCACAAGACCCUUUUUGGAUUUGUGGCCCAACCCACAAGUUAUAGUUCCUUCUCUGAAUAUUUCAUCCAGAUUGUGAAGAGCAGCUUCUGGCAGCCACAGUUGUACUAUGUGACCCCUACUUCCCAUGCCCAGGACUGAUUCGACCCCGUAGUAGACACCUAAAGCAAUCCUGAUCAGUCAGAGUCUUUGUUCCUGACAUUUGGGAUUAGAGCAUGGCUGAAGGUUUAAGACACAAACUUGGAAGCUGUGGGGCAGCAAUACACCUCCAUGAGGACAGAGAAGCAGGGGAAAUAAGAAUAAACCAGAAGCUCACAGAAACGCAGGAAAUACUUCUAGAGUUCUAACACUUUUCGGGUUUCUUGUUCUAGUCCAUUCUUGACACACUUGUGCCUCACAGAAGCCAAUGGCAAGAAUGCAGUCAGAUCCUUCCAAUAAAUUCCUUUUAUUCUGUUUA
Molecule: long non-coding RNA, 1382 nt
Filed under: Homo sapiens (human)
Lineage: Eukaryota; Metazoa; Chordata; Mammalia; Primates; Hominidae
Description: HSALNT0362304
Source: RNAcentral